This 468-nucleotide ribosomal RNA is filed under the name uncultured bacterium. RNAcentral describes it as "partial 16S ribosomal RNA". It matches the Rfam family "Bacterial small subunit ribosomal RNA", at positions 28 to 523 of the family's 1533-position model. The record is from RNAcentral.
GAUGAACGCUGGCGGCGUGCCUAACACAUGCAAGUCGAGCGAUUUACUUCGGUAAAGAGCGGCGGACGGGUGAGUAACGCGUGGGUAACCUGCCCUGUACACACGGAUAACAUACCGAAAGGUAUGCUAAUACGAGAUAAUAUGCUUUUAUCGCAUGGUAGAAGUAUCAAAGCUUUUGCGGUACAGGAUGGACCCGCGUCUGAUUAGCUAGUUGGUAAGGUAACGGCUUACCAAGGCGACGAUCAGUAGCCGACCUGAGAGGGUGAUCGGCCACAUUGGAACUGAGACACGGUCCAAACUCCUACGGGAGGCAGCAGUGGGGAAUAUUGCACAAUGGGCGAAAGCCUGAUGCAGCAACGCCGCGUGAGCGAUGAAGGCCUUCGGGUCGUAAAGCUCUGUCCUCAAAGAAGAUAAUGACGGUACUUGAGGAGGAAGCCCCGGCUAACUACGUGCCAGCAGCCGCCGCGG